CCUCUGUGAAUCAGGAUGGCAUUAAACUGCUUUCCCCUCAGUCCUGGUAAUGUGCGGAGGUCGACAAAGGGCUCUGGUCUUCUCUGUGCCAUGCCUUUAGUACAGGUGGCUUCCAGUCCGCAAGUACCCUCGAGCACCCGGACAGCA
Cervus elaphus (red deer) is the source of this 147-nucleotide small nucleolar RNA. RefSeq annotates it as small nucleolar RNA SNORA57. The transcript has a single exon. NCBI's taxonomy places the organism in Eukaryota, Metazoa, Chordata, Mammalia, Artiodactyla, Cervidae. The record is from RefSeq and is a predicted model, not a curated record.